Molecule: transfer RNA, 73 nt
Filed under: Ovis aries (sheep)
Lineage: Eukaryota; Metazoa; Chordata; Mammalia; Artiodactyla; Bovidae
Rfam family: tRNA
About the family: Transfer RNA (tRNA) molecules are approximately 80 nucleotides in length.
Source: Rfam by way of RNAcentral
UCCCUGGUGGUCCAAUGGCUAAGACGCCUCGUUUCCAAUGCAGGAGGGCUGGGUUCAACCCCCGGUCAGAGAA